Molecule: ribosomal RNA, 305 nt
Filed under: uncultured bacterium
Lineage: Bacteria
Description: bacterial SSU rRNA
Rfam family: Bacterial small subunit ribosomal RNA
Source: RNAcentral
UUUCUCCCACGGGACGCAGCAGUGGGGAAUAUUGCGCAAUGGGCGAAAGCCUGACGCAGCGACGCCGCGUGAGGGAUGAAGGUCUUCGGAUCGUAAACCUCUGUCAGCAGGGAAGAACGGUCACUGUGCUAAUCAGCAGUGAGUUGACGGUACCUGCAAAGGAAGCACCGGCUAACUCCGUGCCAGCAGCCGCGGUAAUACGGAGGGUGCGAGCGUUAAUCGGAAUUACUGGGCGUAAAGCGCUCGUAGGCGGUAUGUCAAGUCAAGGGUGAACUCCCCGCGCUCAACGUGGGAACUGCCUUUGA